Molecule: ribosomal RNA, 425 nt
Filed under: uncultured bacterium
Lineage: Bacteria
Description: partial 16S ribosomal RNA
Rfam family: Bacterial small subunit ribosomal RNA
Source: RNAcentral
GUGGGGAAUCUUAGACAAUGGGGGAAACCCUGAUCUAGCCAUGCCGCGUGAUCGAUGAAGGCCUUAGGGUUGUAAAGAUCUUUCAGGUGGGAAGAUAAUGACUGUACCACCAGAAGAAGCCCCGGCUAACUCCGUGCCAGCAGCCGCGGUAAUACGGAGGGGGCUAGCGUUGUUCGGAAUUACUGGGCGUAAAGCGCACGUAGGCGGAACAGAAAGUCAGAGGUGAAAUCCCAGGGCUCAACCUUGGAACUGCCUUUGAAACUCCUGGUCUUGAGGUCGAGAGAGGUGAGUGGAAUUCCGAGUGUAGAGGUGAAAUUCGUAGAUAUUCGGAGGAACACCAGUGGCGAAGGCGGCUCACUGGCUCGAUACUGACGCUGAGGUGCGAAAGCGUGGGGAGCAAACAGGAUUAGAAACCCCUGUAGUCC